Molecule: ribosomal RNA, 579 nt
Filed under: Colletotrichum tropicicola
Lineage: Eukaryota; Fungi; Ascomycota; Sordariomycetes; Glomerellales; Glomerellaceae
Description: eukaryotic LSU rRNA
Rfam family: 5.8S ribosomal RNA (bases 211-364)
Source: RNAcentral
UAACAAGGUCUCUGUUGGUGAACCAGCGGAGGGAUCAUUANUGAGUUACCGCUCUAUAACCCUUUGUGAACAUACCUCAACUGUUGCCUCGGCGGGCAGGCGGCGGCGACGCCGCCUCCCCGGCGCCCCUCGGGGCGCGCCCGCCGGGGGAUAACCAAACUCUGAUUUAACGACGUUUCUUCUGAGUGGCACAAGCAAAGCAAUAAUCAAAACUUUUAACAACGGAUCUCUUGGUUCUGGCAUCGAUGAAGAACGCAGCGAAAUGCGAUAAGUAAUGUGAAUUGCAGAAUUCAGUGAAUCAUCGAAUCUUUGAACGCACAUUGCGCCCGCCAGCAUUCUGGCGGGCAUGCCUGUUCGAGCGUCAUUUCAACCCUCAAGCACUGCUUGGUGUUGGGGCCCUACGGCCGACGUAGGCCCCCAAAGACAGUGGCGGACCCUCCCGGAGCCUCCUUUGCGUAGUAACAUUACCACCUCGCACUGGGAUCCGGAGGGACUCUCCUGCCGUAAAACCCCCCAAAACAUAACAAGGUUGACCUCGGAUCAGGUAGGAAUACCCGCUGAACUUAAGCAUAUCAAUAA